CCAAAACCAAUUUCAAUAUUUCAUCCUAUUUUCUCUUCUCUUAUUCGAACCAUCAACACUCACCACCACCAUUCUCUUCCACCACAAUCGUCAGCCAUCUCCGCCACCAUUACCCGCCUCACCUCCGCCACCAUCUACGACAAACACGACCCAACACCUCCCUUAUUUUAUCUCGCCUCCCCUGCAGCUACUCACUCCCCUGUUCCUUCUUCCUUUUCUUCCCUUGCGGCACCACCAGCGUCGCACCACUGCUCCCAACCACCCCCGCCACCUUGUAAACCAACCUCCGCCACACAUACUCCGUCAAACCAUUGUGCAGCCGCCCAGAACCGCCCAACUCACCACCCCUUCCCUGCUUUUCCCCUGUUCGCGCAACAACCUCUCCCCUUGCCUGACGCGCCGCCGCGAACCACCACACCACCGACGCCUUUCCACCGCGGGUUCGCGUCCCCAUGCCACCCGAGCCCAGACCCAGCCGCCACCUCUCUUUCUCCUCCCCUGCUCCUUCGUACCCUGCUGUUGCUUCCUCUCUCCUUUUUGCUCGACAUUCAGGAAGUCAGGAAAUCAAUUCCUGACUUUUGAAUUCUUCCCCUAUUAAACCCAAAACAAAAGUGUUGGGCCCAGUUCUAAUAUUUGGGUUUUGAAAUUGGACUCGAAGCUCAGGAAGAACGGUCCAUCAAACAGGAAAUAUAAGACAACGGUUGAGGUAUUGUUGGGGACCACGGAAACGAGUAGUGGUGAGGAUUUCACUAUAGCAAUGUUCACCUAAGUUAAUGUUAAGUUGUAACAAGUUUAAGUAUGACUCUUGAUUAAGUUAUGUACUUUGAUUAAGGAAUUAAAAGGAUUAAUAUGGAGUUUUGGAGUAAUUAUUGUGAUGGUUGCCUUGUAAUUCCCAAGAGGGAGUUACGGCAGUAAUGUCCCGACCAUAUUAGGAUGUUUCCGCUGCUAAGUAUGCCUUAAUAAGUGAAUUAGAGGUCGGGGCGUUACACUUCGUCCCUUAAUAAUCGCACCGGUUUGACCAAUGCGGAGUUUAAGACACUUGAAUUGACUUAUUAAUUUAAAUGGUGGUAGUUAAUAGUGAGGUAUGUUUUUAAUAUAGUUAGUGAGAAAUGUGUAAGUGGGUAGUGGGGUGUAAUUUUUAAAUGAUUUUUUGUAAGGAGUGGCUGGGUUAGUAGAUAAGUGUGAGAAAUAAUAUAAUAUUGGUAAAAAAAAUUCAUUUAUAGAAGCAGUGCAAAUAUUAAGGGACGACCAGCAAAGGAAAGCGAUACGGGUAUUAAGGGAUGGAGGGAAUAUGAAAUGGCAUGUCAAAAAUGAUGAGGUAUGUGACGAGAUGACAUUCUUUACUUAACUUGGAGUUUUAAUAACAAUAUAGUUUGUUUACAGGGUAUCUAAAAGUUCCAGUUUCAAAAGUUUGUGAACCGAAAAAAAUAAAAGAAAAAAAAAUAUAUAUAUAUAUAUUGUAAUAAAUUUUCAAUUUUGUUAGCUGGAAGCCUGGACCGAAACUUAUGUUCAGAUUCGGAUUUUAAAACCGCAGAUUCUUAACAGGUUUCAAUUCCAAUUUAUAUUACCCGGUUUUUUUUAGUGUCAGCCCUACCCAUAACUGAAGUUUGUUGAGUCAUUGAUUGGCUCACUCUUUAAUUUUUUACAUUUUUCAUACAUAUAACUUAUAUGGUGGGCAAUUCAUUUAGUGUAACAACUGCACUAUAGAUGAUGUGUACAACUUUGGUUGUGUAGCAACCAGUUGUGGCAAAUUGGGUGACAUAGAUGAUGAGGUUUUGCUGGCAUAUUGUUCACCAUACCAAAAUUAUGAAUUAUUACUAGAAUACAAAGAAAAAUUAUAAUUAUUACUAGAAUAUACCCAAAGAACUAGAAGUAUAUGAAUACUUGAAUAAACUCUCACCUAUUUAGUGUUAGUGUGAUACUCCUUUUAAAUGGGACUAUAUUAUCGAUUACUAGAUUAGAUCUUGUGCACGCAUGGAUUUUGAUUUUUUUUUUUCACCAAAAUAUUUAACUGAAUAUCUUCCAAACUACUGCAUAAUUAUAAUAUUUUUAACAUACUAGCUUAAAUUUAUUCAUCAGCGCGUCUCCUUUGAGACCAGUCACACCAUCAACUUGAUGGUGUGACAAGCGCGAAACCAAUAGCGUACCCUCCUCUAAAACUGUAUAAAAAAAAGUAACAGAUCUAAACUAUAGAAGUAACAUACCUAAACUAAAAAAGUACCUCCUCUAAAAUUAUAUAUAUAAAAAGUAACAUGUCUAAACUAUAGGAGUAACAUACCUAAACUAAAAAUGUACCUCCCCUAAAACUAUUCCGUAUAAAAAAAAGUAACAUGUCUAAACUAUAGAAGUAACAUACCUAAACUAAAAAAGUACCUCAUCUAAAAUUAUAAAGAAAAGUAACAUGUCUAAACUAUAGAAGUAAUACAUAAACUAAAAAGGUACCUCCCUAAAACUAAUCCGUAUAAAAAAAGUAUCAUGUCUAAACUAUAGAAGUAACAUACCUAAACUAAAAAGGUACCUCCCCUAAAACUACUCCGUAUAAAAAAAAGUAACAUGUCUAAACUAUAGAAGUAACAUACCUAAACUAAAAAAAAUACCUCCUCUAAAAUUAUUAAAAAAAAAGUAACAUGUCUAAACUAUAGAAGUAACAUACCUAAACUAAGAAGGUAUCUCCCCUAAAACUACUCCGUAUUAAAAAAAAGUAACAUGUAUAAACUAUAGAAGUAACAUACCUAAACUAAAAAAAGUACUUCCUUCUAAAAUUAUAUAAAAAAAAGUAACAUGUCUAAACUAUAGAAGUAACAUACCUAAACUAAGAAGGUAUUUCCCAUAAAACUACUCCGUAUAAAAAAAGUAACAUUUAUAAACUAUAGAAGUAACAUACCUAAACUAAAAAAAGUACCUCCUCUAAAAUUAUAAAAAAAAGUAACAUGUCUAAACUAUAGAAGUAACAUACAUCGCAAGUGUGAAUUGGUCUCACCAUCAGUUGAUGGUGAGGACAGUCUCAUAUAAGAAUUUGGGUUUAUUCAUCUAAUAUGCAUAUUUAAAAUGGUAAUAUGGUAAUUUGACCAAAAUAUUGAGUGAUAUAUUUUCCAUUAUUAAUAUAGCGCUUUGACUAAAAUAUUACCAAUUUAGAAUAAUUAUUAUUACGUCGUAUCUAUUAUUGCCAUAAUUUAUAAACUAAAUUUUGUUUCCAUACAUAAAUAGUUUAUAAAAAAAGUAGAGAAUAAAAAUAAAAUAAAACAGAUACACUUUUUGGGAAAGUGGUUUUUGGCGGGAAAAAAUCGCACCAGAAAUUGACACGUGUCAUUCCUGAUGUCUCUUUUAGUAUAUAGUAAUAGAUAGAUAAUAUAUUCUUUAUACGACCCGACAAAUCGUAUAUUAAACCAACCAUUUGUGUAUGGAGGGGGGAAAGGGAAUACUUUGUAAUUUUUAUCAACUAGUAAUCCUAUUUGUGAGCGAGCAUUAGACUUAGAUGAAUUCAUAUUCGAGUCAAGGUGAACUUAAUUAAAGAAACUAUUUAGACGAACAUUGGUGUAUUCAAUUCUAGCUAUAACUCGAAUUCAAGACAUCUAAUUGAGACCAUUCUCUUACAACUUGAAUCAAAGGGUGAGUUUUGUUCUAUCCUUCUUUCUCUUUGUAGAAUGUGAUAUGUGCCGAAAAUUCAGAAUUCCCAACUUACAGUUGGAUCAAACAUAUAGCUCUAAUAUGAAUUCAAUUUUGAAUUGGCUCAUAGUAUUAGGUCUCAAAUAGCUCUAAUACCAUGUUAAAUAUGAGCAUGGCUGCUCCUAUCAUAAUUAUAGAGUGUUCACUUCACAAGAUUAAAUAAAGUUUCAUCUUAAAAUCAUAUUAUAAUAAUAAUAUGAAAAAAUGGUUCUUACCCUUAUAAAUUGAACAUCUAUCUACAAAAGAGUUGCUUCAAAGCCUUAUAAACCAAACUAGCUAGGAUUCGGCGCAUGAUUAAUUGAUGGUGUUGUGGCGCAACAAAGUUUUAUCUUGUCUGGUUUAAGAGUCUAGGCUUAAUCACUACAAAAUUAUGCAUCAAUUAGAUAUGGAUUUUGAGACGGAUAUCAUAAACGUCUCGAACUUGAGACAAAUUACUAAAACUUCGUCUCUUAAUUAAAAUUGAGAUGGAAGUCUAUAUGGAGUUUCAAAAAUUCCGUCUCAAAUUUGUAAUGGAUUUGAAAGAAUUCCGUGUCAAUUCUUUUUUAAGACGCCCCUCUAUAGAGACGCUCUAUUUUGGUCUCAAAUCCGUCUCUAAGCAUCAUUUUAAGACGGAUUUGAACUUUAUAGAGUCGAUAUUCCUCGUCUCUAUAAAAUGAUUAUUUUGUAGUAAAUUAAUCCUAACAUGGAUGCCUAGCUAAAACUAUUGUUAAUUAAUUUCUCAAGUUUGGCCAAUAACAUUGUCACAUUCUACUAAUUUUGGUUAUUUCAACUUUUAAUUAGCUUCUAUAAAUGUCUUCUUUUAUCAACUAGGCAUGUAAUAUAUUAACCCUGCAACUCAUUGUUCUAUGCAUGCCCUACUUAAUUUGUAUCAUAUACAACAUGUUUGACCACAUGAAACUACAUGAAUAUCAAAUUCAUGACGGUUUAGUCUUUUUUUUAAUUCGAUUUGAUUAACUUUAUAAUCCGUAUUAUACUAUGUUAGAUAAUGCCUUGAAUCGGUCAAGCCCCUUACUCCAACGUCCCAUCACGGAGAGUACUAUAUAAACCCUCUAGGUCAUAACCUAGUUGUAUUCUGUAAUCUGUACUCCUCAAGAUCAAUAAAACUU
Spinacia oleracea (spinach) is the source of this 4772-nucleotide long non-coding RNA. RefSeq lists it as uncharacterized. NCBI's taxonomy places the organism in Eukaryota, Viridiplantae, Streptophyta, Magnoliopsida, Caryophyllales, Amaranthaceae. The transcript is spliced from 3 exons. The record is from RefSeq and is a predicted model, not a curated record.